AUUGAACGCUGGCGGCAUGCUUUACACAUGCAAGUCGAACGGUAACAGGUUAAGCUGACGAGUGGCGAACGGGUGAGUAAUGCAUCGGAACGUGCCCGGUCGUGGGGGAUAACGCAGCGAAAGUUGCGCUAAUACCGCAUACGAUCUGAGGAUGAAAGCGGGGGACCGUAAGGCCUCGCGCGAUCGGAGCGGCCGAUGUCAGAUUAGGUAGUUGGUGGGGUAAAGGCUCACCAAGCCAACGAUCUGUAGCUGGUCUGAGAGGACGACCAGCCACACUGGGACUGAGACACGGCCCAGACUCCUCCGGGAGGCAGCAGUGGGGAAUAUUGGACAAUGGGCGAAAGCCUGAUCCAGCAAUGCCGCGUGCAGGAAGAAGGCCUUCGGGUUGUAAACUGCUUUUGUACGGAGCGAAAAGGUCUCCUCUAAUACAGGGGGCUCAUGACGGUACCGUAAGAAUAAGCACCGGCUAACUACGUGCCAGCCGCCGCAGUAA
RNAcentral lists this ribosomal RNA (493 nucleotides) under uncultured bacterium. RNAcentral's name for it is "partial 16S ribosomal RNA". It matches the Rfam family "Bacterial small subunit ribosomal RNA", at positions 30 to 523 of the family's 1533-position model. The record is from RNAcentral.